Long non-coding RNA from Ictalurus punctatus (channel catfish), 1993 nucleotides. RefSeq lists it as uncharacterized. The record is from RefSeq and is a predicted model, not a curated record. Lineage: Eukaryota; Metazoa; Chordata; Actinopteri; Siluriformes; Ictaluridae. The transcript has 4 exons.
ACUGUGUUGCCAUGCAAUCGUCUCUUCAAUCUGGAUAAUUGGAAAAAGUGGUGCAUUUGUGUUUAACAAAGCUAGUGUUUAACAACAUGUGCUUUACUACCCAUUUCACUGGUCAGCUAGGCCAUAAACUGAGAAGAAUAAAAAUGCAGGAAUAUGGAGUACACUGCUACUAUGCUUGCAUAUGAAUGGAUGAAGAGGCAAUCUUGGAGAGCCUUGGAGUAAAGCUGCUGCUCCAUAGUAUUGAAAAGGAGCCAGACGACAUGGUUCAGGGCGCUUAAAAGGAUGCCCCUGGUCAGCUCCAUCCCUAGAGCUGUAUUAGGCAUGUCCAACUGGACAGACACCGCAAUACAGACCCAGGACCAACAGGAUUCAACGUCUACCUCCAUCAGGGGACUGAGGAAAGCUCCUAAAUGAAGAACAGGAACUUGCUAUUGUCAACAUAUUGAUUGUUGACAAUGAAAUAAAACUGAAGGACAUACAGUUCAGAGUUGUAGAGGACAACCUUGUCUUUGGGAACAUUGCAGCAAUCAGCAUAACAUCCAUUUCUCGGACUCUAGCUAAACACAGAGUCCGAAUGAAACAACUGUAUAAAAGUUCCUUUUGAAAGGAAUGCUGAGGUCAUCAAAGAACUCAGUCGCCAAGACGUCCAGAGAAUCAUGGAGUUGGAGGUCAAUGUCCCACAGCAAAUGAUCUAUUUUGACGAGGAUGGCUUCAACUUGUGGAAAAAGCGUUGGUGCGUAAAAAACAUAAUUGGCAAAAGGGCUACAGUUACCAUGCCGGGCCAGAGAGGAGCCAACAUCACCACGUGUGCCGCAUAAAUGUGAGACUGGCCCCUUCUCCAGUUUUUAGAAGACCUGUAUGAAAGACAGGUGACAGAGGCAGAAAGGGGACAAGUGGGAGACCACUUGCCAAUAUAUAUGACCACAUGGGACAACGUGGCAUUCCACCAUUCCCAUGCAGUCACAGCCUGGUUUGAUGCCCAUCCGAGGAUGAUGUCCCUUUUCCUUGCCCCUUACUACCUUUUCCUCAACCCCAUUGAGGAGUUGUUCUCAGCCUGGAGAUGGAAGGUUUUUGACCAUCGUCCACAAUACCAAAUGUCCCUCCUGGAUGAAAUGGAUGCUGCAUGCCAAGACAUCACAGCUGAACACUGCCAGGGGUGGAGAAGGCAUGCCAAGAGAUUCUUCCCAAGAUGCCUUGCCAGAGAUGAUAUCAGGUGUGAUGUAGAUGAGAACAUGUGGCCAAAUGCAGAAGACCGGGUAGAUUAGAAGAUGACAUUUUUAUUAUUAUUAUUCUACUGUGGCUUUUUCUGUUUGUAUAUUUUGUAUUUUUGCGUAAUAAAUGGAAGCUAUAUUGCAUAUUUAUGUUAUCUUGCAGUAAUGUCCUGUUGCAAAUAGAGCCUUUACUGCAACAAUUCUGUCUCGGUCUUCUUUUUUUUUUCUCCCCAUAAACCGUACAUUCUAUAAAGCUAGUCUGAGAUUGGUCAAUUCAUGUUUUGCAUUGAAUUUAUGCAGCAAAAGAAACAAAAUGCAUGCAUUUGCUAAACCCGACAAAACAAAAAUGUAGAGAGGCUUCAAAAGAAACUGCAGUGCAAAGCACAAUCUAUGAUCAAUACAAUAAACUGUCUAUUGUAUAAGGGCAGACCUGACGCAUAUAAAAUAAUGCAGUAUCUGUAAUUCCAUCUAAUGUUAGUGCUUUUAUGACAUUGUGCUAUGAUUGACUAAAUUUUCCUGUUGGAAGAGAACAUGUGUUAGUGUUUUGGGAGAAUUAUUUGAUUUUGAGACAUGUUUGCAGUGUUUUGGUAGACAUAGUGUAUUGUGUUAGUGUAUUAUUGUUUUUUGAAAAUUACUGUUUGAGUUUAGUUUACAAUGUGUGGAUUUUUAGCAUGUAAUGAACCGUUUUGCCAAUUGUGUGUUGGUGUGUUAAGAGUUUAGGAAAAUUGUUAAAAGUAUUUUUUUUAAAAAUUGUCGAUCAUAAAAAAUUGUCUGCAAAUAUA